Molecule: ribosomal RNA, 751 nt
Filed under: Osteochilus hasseltii (silver sharkminnow)
Lineage: Eukaryota; Metazoa; Chordata; Actinopteri; Cypriniformes; Cyprinidae
Description: partial 16S ribosomal RNA
Rfam family: Bacterial large subunit ribosomal RNA (bases 320-751)
Source: RNAcentral
AAGGGGAGGGCAAGUCGUAACACGGUAAGUGUACCGGAAGGUGCACUUGGAACAAACCCAGGAUAUGGCUGAGCUAGUCAAGCAUCUCACUUACGCCGAGAAGAUAUCCAUGCAAGUUGGAUUAUCCUGAGCCAAGCAGCUAGCUUACACAACUAACAUAACACAACGAUAUACAUAAAAUUAAAUAGACCACACACCAAAAACUAAACCAUUCUUUUACCUGAGUAUGGGAGACAGAAAAGGUUCAACCAAAAGCAAUAGAAAAAGUACCGCAAGGGAAAGCUGAAAGAGAAAUGAAAUAACCCAUAUAAGCACCAAAAAGCAAAGACUAAACCUUGUACCUUUUGCAUCAUGAUUUAGCCAGUAAACAUCAAGCAAAGAGACCUUUAGUUUGAGACCCCGAAACCAGAUGAGCUACCCCGAGACAACUUAUUAAGAGCCAACCCGUCUCUGUGGCAAAAGAGUGGGAAGAACUCCGGGUAGAAGUGACAAACCUACCGAAUCUGGUGAUAGCUGGUUGCCUAAGAAAUGAAUAGGAGUUCAGCCUCAUAUACCUCAAGCCAACUGAACUGACCUAGCACAGUACAACACAAUACAACAAGACACGAGAGAUAAAUAUGAGAGUUAAUUAAAGGGGGUACAGCCCCUUUAAUAAAGGAUACAACCUUAUUCAGGAGAAUAAAGAUCAUAAUAUGUAAAAUAUACUGCUCUAGUGGGCCUAAAAGCAGCCACCUAAACAGAAAGCGUUAAG